RNAcentral lists this ribosomal RNA (431 nucleotides) under uncultured bacterium. Its description in RNAcentral is "partial 16S ribosomal RNA". It matches the Rfam family "Bacterial small subunit ribosomal RNA", at positions 29 to 507 of the family's 1533-position model. The record is from RNAcentral.
AACGAACGCUGGCGGCAGGCUUAACACAUGCAAGUCGAGCGCCCCGCCAGGGGAGCGGCAGACGGGUGAGUAACGCGUGGGAACGUACCUUUUGGUUCGGAACAACUCCGGGAAACUGGAGCUAAUACCGGAUAAGCCCUAACGGGGAAAGAUUUAUCGCCGAAAGAUCGGCCCGCGUCUGAUUAGCUAGUUGGUGAGGUAACGGCUCACCAAGGCGACGAUCAGUAGCUGGUCUGAGAGGAUGAUCAGCCACACUGGGACUGAGACACGGCCCAGACUCCUACGGGAGGCAGCAGUGGGGAAUAUUGGACAAUGGGCGCAAGCCUGAUCCAGCCAUGCCGCGUGAGUGAUGAAGGCCUUAGGGUUGUAAAGCUCCUUUGUCCGGGAAGAUAAUGACUGUACCGGAAGAAUAAGCCCCGGCUAACUUCGUG